RNAcentral lists this long non-coding RNA (2530 nucleotides) under Mus musculus (house mouse). Its description in RNAcentral is "long non-coding RNA chr6:63792164-63794694". The record is from RNAcentral. Lineage: Eukaryota; Metazoa; Chordata; Mammalia; Rodentia; Muridae.
AUUAAUACCACCAAUCCAUCAGAUCUUUCAAUUUUUGAUAUCUUCUUUAAUUUCUUUCUUUAAUGUAUUAAUUUUUUAUCUUAAGAAUCUUUAAUGUUAGUUUUCCCUCACUGUAUCCCAGAUUUACCCUGCCCUCUCAGGUACUAGAAUAUUGUUUCAUAAAGAGAUUAAUGUGAAAGUUAAAAUAUAAGGAUUAAAUGAUUAUGGGUUAGUACACAAACAUCUCUAAAAGAUAAAUAAGACAAAAUAUGCUACUAUAGUUUUGCUUGUAGGAAAGACAGGCAUGUGAGUGAUUCAUAAAUAAUGUCAAUGGCGUUCAUACAUAUAAAGUUUGUACACAGAUUUGUUACUAACAAUUAGCCAUUAAGAACAUAGUACAGAAGCAGAAACACAAAACAGAAAUUUGUUUAAAUAGAAAAAAUGAAUUACAUUGAGCCCUUGCCAUAUCAUUUUGUAUGUAAAUGUUACAUCAAUUUGUGUCUUUGGGUAAAUAAAUUCAGAGAUUUGAACAACCCAUAAAAAGUCAGAAAUAGUAGAUAUACUUCUAUUUGAGUUCCGUGCAUAUUUAUGUUUACACACUUAAAGAGUUGAGUACAUGGAAAUUAAAGAAUAAGUAGAUUAUAAUACACAGAUCUAUGGAAAAUUUACAUUUGCAAAGUAAUAUGUUUCAAAUUUUAUAUAAUUGAUAUAAUUCUACUGUUUACUUGAAAUAGAUUCUGAAGAUUUACUAUAGGAGAGAAAUAUCUAGGAAUAUUAAAAACUAAUAUAUAGUUUUAGUGGAUAUUUAACCACUGAACUAAAGGUAUUUUUCCAAUUAUAUUUUAAAAUAACAACACAAAACAAAACUACAGAAUAUAUCAAAACUUUAUUCUACCAGAAGCCAUCACAGUUAGUAGUGGUUUUGUCUCUUGAGGUUUGGAUAGUUAUUCAAGUGAAAAAUCUUCACAUGAUGAUAACUGCUAGGAGUCACCUUUGAUGGCAUAUUAACGACUGAUUUCCCCAUUUAAUAAAUUAAUAGGUAAAAGAAAUUCCCUAGCCUAUAUCCAAUUAUAACACAAAUUAAAUUGUUUGUUCUAGGCUGGCAGUGCAUUGAGCCUAUUUGUUUUGCUUAAAUUUAAUGAAAGUAAUAAUAUUAUCAAUAUGUCUCUAUUAACCUGUUAGAAGUGCUUAAAAGUCCUUGCUGUGUAUCAAACCAUACUGUUAAAAUUGUUUCAGGGUUAUUGCUUUUAUAGAACACUUUUUAAAAAUUAUGAUGACAUCCUGUGGGUAUAAUUAGUGACUGAAUAAAUCUAACUUUUCACAAUUUCUUGACAAGAAAUUAUUUUUAAAGGUAUUGUUUAGAAUUUCAUACUGCAUCAAAAUAAUUCCCACUCCUUCCCCCUUCAGACUCCUCUUGCUUCAUCUCAAAUUUAUGAUCUCCACUUUAGCUAUAAUUGUUCCAUAUGUGUGUGUUUGUGUAUGCACAUACAUAUAUGCACAAAUGUACAUAUGCACUGCUGAGUCCAUUUUGUGUAGCUUGUAUGUACAUUAAGGGGUGAUACUACCCAGGUUCUCUCCUGCUGGCAUUAGUGUUGCCAUUACUGGUUCAGGCAGCCAUACUAUAGAGAGCCCAUGAGUGCAUUUUACAUGUGGUGUCAAUGGGCCCACAAUAUAUUGAUAGGUGUUCUGGGCCUCCAGUUCUCUCUUCCUGCCCCAUGAUGAAUGACUUUCCCCUGAGUCUUAAGUUUCGGGGUUAUGUUGCAGAUGUAUAAAUUGGGAUUAGGCACAGCACAGUCACGUAUUCUGUGCAUUUAGACCAGUUGUGGAUUUCCAUAAUAGUCUGUGUCUGUCAGAAAAUGAAGCUUCUUUUGUGAAAGGUGAAAGCUGCCCUAAUCUGACAGAGAAUGACAGAUAGGAUUGAAGACUAAAAACCUUCCUUGAAUGUUGAUCAUCUUCCUUUCUUCAAAUACUUAUAAUUAGAUUCCUUUUUUGCACAAGUUAUAGAUUUUGUAAGUGGAAUGCUUCCUUGAUAAAGAAUGCAAUAAAAAUAUCAAUAUUAAAUAGUUAUUCUUAAAAAUCAGUAUACAUAUUUAUAAGUAAAAGACUUAAUUUUGUCUGAUCAGCAAGUUAUAAUAUUUUGUCCUUAGCUUUGUAAUACUAAAAAGCUAUAUUUUAUGAGCAUCGUUAGUAUAAAAAAAGUAUAUAAUUCAAAAUUGACAUGACAUUGUUUAGUGAGUCUCUGAACUUGUAGUCCCAAAAUCUUCAGGUUAAAUCUUGAUCAUACUAAUUUUUGUGUGAAAUUCUCAUUUGACUGUAUUUUGCUCUCUGAAAAACUUGGGGUUUAAUCACAUAUAAUUCAUACUUGUUAGAAAGUUAAUUUGCAAAAUAAUUUGACUGUUUAGUACAUAUGCCUUAAAUAUGCAUAAAUGUAAAUUAAACUUGGGUUUUUAGAUUCACAGAUCUUGAGUUGCUAAAGAUCUGUUAUGCUCUGAAGCAGCUUUCAUACCAGGGAGAAUCUGAAAGGAUUCUCUCUAUCCUGCUCUUUAUCUCC